AGAUUGAACGCUGGCGGCAGGCCUAACACAUGCAAGUCGAGCGGUAGAGAGGUGCUUGCACCUCUUGAGAGCGGCGGACGGGUGAGUAAUUCCUAGGAAUCUGCCUAGUGGUGGGGGAUAACGUUCGGAAACGGACGCUAAUACCGCAUACGUCCUACGGGAGAAAGCGGGGGACCUUCGGGCCUCGCGCCAUUAGAUGAGCCUAGGUCGGAUUAGCUAGUUGGUGAGGUAAUGGCUCACCAAGGCGACGAUCCGUAACUGGUCUGAGAGGAUGAUCAGUCACACUGGAACUGAGACACGGUCCAGACUCCGUACGGGGAGGCAGCAGGUGGGGGAAUAGUUGGAACUAAGUGGGGACGAAAGUCCCGUAGACU
RNAcentral lists this ribosomal RNA (374 nucleotides) under uncultured soil bacterium. Its description in RNAcentral is "bacterial SSU rRNA". It matches the Rfam family "Bacterial small subunit ribosomal RNA", at positions 26 to 391 of the family's 1533-position model. The record is from RNAcentral.